This 6631-nucleotide long non-coding RNA is filed under the name Setaria italica (foxtail millet). RNAcentral's name for it is "long non-coding RNA (SITA_LNC002268)". The record is from RNAcentral. Lineage: Eukaryota; Viridiplantae; Streptophyta; Magnoliopsida; Poales; Poaceae.
UGUUAGCACUGCUCGUUCAUCAGCUCAGCGUUACAGCAGCUUGGGCCGCGAAGAUGAUGGGCCACGUCGGGGCAACCGGGCUAGACAGGCAAACAAGCGUGUUACAGGCCAGAAGUGGUGUUAGCGUGCAUGAGUCGCGUGCAUGCGUGUGUGGUGCUUAUCUGAGCAUCGCGUGCCUGUGAAACAGCAAGAAAGAACGGAAUUGUAAACUCAUCUUCCUCCUCAAGAAAUACUCCUCGCUAUCCUUCUUCCUCUGUUCUUCCUAGUUCAUACUCCCCUCCAAAUUCUAAUCUAAAUAUCUACCGCUGCCUACCCCUUGGAUUUAGUAGUUAACAUCUGGUAUCAGGUUCGUCGGUUCUGGGAUCUUUUCUCUUGCGGCCGCUCUGGAGCCGCGCCUUGCCCACGACCAUUUCACUCGUCGUCAACGCCGCCUGGGUGCAAUGGAUCCUAAUACCAAACUGCUCUUGGAUGAAAUGGACAAGCGAUUUGCGGUGCUGAUCUGAAGUGGGAGAAGAAGUUUGAUGUCUUGGUGUAGGCUAAGGAGGAGCAUCUAGCUGUUUUGGAGAAUGCCCAAGAAGAAAUUAUCUCCUGGAAGCCUUCGGUCGAUUCGUCCAUGGAUACCCUCAAGCUUGAGCUUUAGCCGCUCAACAAGCACAUGGAGCAUUCUAUGUUGGAGAACGCUAUUGGGGACCAAGGCUUGCUGCUCAAGCUGGAGUCGGUGGCCACGCGCCCAUCUGCCAGACUCUCCAUCGAUGGCCCAAUUGGGCACCGCGACGACCUUCUCUACCGGGAGCAGGGACUUAGGUCGAUGCUGACCUUCAUUUCUGGCCUGAUCAAGGGUAUGGCUGCUUCUCCUCCACCCUUUCCGCCUCCUAAAUUCCAUGGUCCACUUUAUGAAUCCUCCUGUUCACGGGGUCGUUCUGUGGAAACUGGGCAUCGUUAUGGGGGAAAAUUACCUAAGAUUUCUUUUCCUACCUUCGAUGGGUACAAUCCUAGACUAUGGAUAUCUAGAUGUGAGAUUUACUUUGAUAUGUAUCAUGUGGAGCCUGAUGCUUGGAUACGGGUGGCGUCCAUUCAUUUGUCACCUGUGGUUGCGUGCUGGUUCCAAUCGGUUGAACGCAAGUUCCAUGCUCUGACUUGGCCACACUUUUGCUUACUCUUGCAUGAACGGUUUGGCAAGGAUCAACAACAAUUGUUGAUUUGCCAGCUUUUUCGUAUUAGGCAGUCGGGGACAGUCUCUGAGUACAUUGAACAAUUUUCCAAUUUGGUUGAUUAGCUGUCAGCUUAUGAUUCCAUUCCUGAUCCCUUGUUCUUCACUACUAAAUUUAUUGAUGGGUUAAAUUAUGCUAUUAGAUCAGUAGUGCUUGUUUAACGCCCUCCCAAUCUGGAUUCUGCUUGUGCGCUUGCCCUUCUGUAGGAAGAAGUCGCUGCUCCUGUCAAGUUUAAGGACUUGCACAAGUCUGAUCAGGGAUUCUGGGUGAAGUCUGCUCCCAAGGGACCUCUACCUCUUCCUACUCCUCCUGUGAACACUACUGUUAGUAAAUCCUCUCUUCCUAAUGACAAGCGAGGGGGUUCUUCUGCUCGAUCAGUUGAGGACAAGAUGGCUGCUCUCCGGUCUUUUAGGCGUGCUAAGGGCCUCUGUGAUAGGUGUGCAGAGAAAUGGCACAGGGGACACACUUGUGCCACUACUGUGCAACUUCAGGCAAUGCAGGAAGUUUGGGAGUUAUUCAAUAUUGAAGAAUUGGAUGCUUGCUCUGGUGUUGAACAGCCCACUGAGGACCUGUUGUUUCUGGCAAUUUCAUCCGAGGCUAUGUCUGGUGGUGAGACUAAAAUGUCUAUGCAACUGAUGGGUAUGAUGCAACACUUGCCUAUUCAUAUUCUAAUUGAUUCUAGCAGCACCAGUUCUUUUGCGAGUCAGCAUGUGGUUGACCAAUUGAGCAAUUUCGUUAUCUCUCCUUCUCAUGUCAAAGUGCAAGUGGCUAAUGGAGGUGUCAUGUCCUGUUCUUCUGCUCUUCCUGAAGCUGAAUGGUCUAUCCAAGGUUGUUUAUUCAAGCAACAACUUAGAGUGCUACCUCUUCUAUCUUAUCAUCUAAUUUUGGGAAUGGACUGGUUGGAGAGCUUUAGCCCCAUGAAGAUCCAUUGGCACCAUAAAUGGAUGGUUAUUCCCUACAAUGAUACUACAGCAGUGUUACAAGGUAUUCUUCCUGCAAUUGCUGAAGAGUUGCUCAUCCAGAUCACUUCUGUUCAAGCACAGCCUUCUGCUGCUGAGGGAUCUACCUUGCCACCAAAGAUUUCUAACUUAAUUGUUCAUUUUCAAGUGGUUUUCUCUACUCCUAGUUCCUUAUCUCCUGAAAGAACUUGUGAUCACAGUAUUCCAUUGAUUCCAGGAGCUAGACCCUUUAAUAUAAGGCCUUACAGGUAUCCUCCUUCCUUGAAAGAUGAAAUUGAGAAACAAGUGGCUGAUAUGAUUUAGUUGGGCAUAAUUCGACCAAGUUCUUCUCCUUUUUCUUCUCCUGUACUACUAGUUAGGAAGAAGGAUGGCACUUUCAAAUUUUGUGUGGAUUAUCGAUAUUUGAAUGCCUUAACCUUGAAGGGGAAAUUUCCUAUUCCUAUUUUUGAUCAACUAAUGGAUGAGUUGGCUAGAGCCAGUUGGUUUACCACUUUGGAUUUGAUCUCUGGAUAUCAUCAAGUUAGACUGAAACCAGGUGAAGAAUACAAGACUGCUUUCCAAACUCACCAUGGACAGUUUGAGUUUUUGGUGAUGGCCUUUGGUCUAUCUGGGGCACCUGGCACUUUCCAAGGAGCCAUGAAUACUAACUUAUCUCCUUUUGUUGAGGCGAUGUGUGAUAGUAUUCUUUGAUGACAUUUUGAUUUAUAGUAAGACUUUUGAGGACCAUCUAGUUCAUUUAAAGGAGGUGUUGACGCUGCUACAGCAAGAUCAAUGGUAUGUUAAAGUGUCCAAAUGUAAGUUUGCUCAAAGGGAGAUUUCAUAUUUGGGACAUAUCAUUAGUGAGGCAGGUGUUUCUACUGAUUUAGCCAAGGUUGAUGCUGUCGUUAAUUGGCCAGUCCCUGUCAAUGUCAAGGAAUUAAGGAGUUUCUUGGGGUUGGCUGGCUAUUAUAGAAAGUUUGUGAAGCACUUUGCUGUCAUUGCCAAACCAUUGACCGAACUGUUAAAGAAGGGAGCUAUCUUUGUUUGGACACAACACCAGGAAGUGGCUUUUGUAACGUUGAAACAAGCUUUAAGUUCAGCUCCUGUCUUGGCUCUUCCUGACUUUUCUAAGCAGUUUUGUUUGGAAACUGAUGCUUGUAAGAAUGGUGUUGGAGCUGUAUUGCUGUAGGAUAGACACCCCUUAGCUUUUAUCAGCAAGCCUCUAGGAGUUAAGACUCAAGGUCUUUCCACUUAUGAGAAGGAGUACAUGGCUAUUUUAAUUGUUGUGGGGCAAUGGAGAUCGUAUCUGUUGCAUGGAGAAUUUAUUAUUUUCACUGAUCAAAAGAGUUUAAUUCAUUUGAAUGAACAGAGGCUUAACACUCCUUGGCAACAGAAAGUUUUUACCAAAUUGUUGGGUAUGCAAUAUAAGAUUGUUUAUAAGCAAGGUACUGAGAAUAGAGUGGUUGAUGCCUUGUCCAGAAGAGCACAUGAGUCUGUUGAGUGCUUUUCCAUUUCUGUAGCUACUCCUCAAUGGAGUAGAGCUAUCAUGGAUGCUUACUUUGCCGAUUCUGAUGCCAAGAGCAAGAUUGCUAAGUUGGUCCUGGAUAGUGCUGCUAUACCAAAUUUUUCAUAUCAAGAUGGGUUGCUCAGAUUUAAGGGUAGGAUUUGGCUGGGUACCAAUGUUCAGAUGCAGCAUCAAAUUUUAGAAGCCUUGCACAGCUCUGCUAUUGGGGGGCACUCUGGGUUUCUAGUCACAUACCAAAGGAUUAAACACCUUUUUGCUUGGCUUGGUAUGAAAAGGAGUGUUCAUUCCUUUGUAUCUUCAUGCUCUGUGUGUCAACAAGCUAAACCUAAGAGGGUUAAGUACCCUGGACUAUUGCAGCCUCUCCCUGUACCAUCUGGAGCUUGGCAUACUGUUAGCAUGGAUUUUGUGGAAGGCUUGCCUACUUCUGGUGGUAAAAACUGUGUCAUGGUCAUUGUUGACAAGUUUUCUAAAUUCAGCCAUUUUCUUCCUUUGAAGCAUCCAUUUACAGCAGCUGUUGUGGCUAAACUCUUUAUGCAAAAUGUCUAUAAGCUUCAUGGUAUACCUUCAGUCAUUAUUUUGGAUAGAGAUAGAAUCUUCACAAGUCAAUUUUGGAGAUCCUUAUUUUCUCUAGCUGGUGUUUCCUUAAGCAUGAGUUCGGCAUAUCAUCCUCAAUCCGAUGGUCAGACUGAGCGAGUCAAUCAGUGUAUGGAAACAUUUUUGAGAUGUUUCGUUAAUGCUUGUCCUAGUAAGUGGGUAGACUGGAUUUAUUUGGCCGAGUUUUGGUACAACUCCAGUUGGCACUCCGCUUUGGGAUUUUCUCCAUUCCAGGUGCUUUAUGGCUACUCCCCUAAACACUUUGGUAUUGAUACACUGUCGGCCUGUCCUGUUCCUGCCUUGGAUGAUUGGCUGCAAGAUAAGAUAGUUAUGCAAGACUUGGUGCAGCAGCAUUUUGGCUCGUGCUCAGCACUGGAUGAAGGUUCAAGCUGACAAGCAACGUUUAGAAGGACUUUGCAGUCGGUGAUUCAAUUUAUUUGAAGCUUCAACCUUAUGUGCAGUCUUCAUUGGCCCCGAGAUCCAAUCAAAAACUGGCCUUCUAUUACUUUGGUCCUUUCAAAAUCGUGGCUAAAAUUGGUCCAGUAGCUUAUAAACUGGAGUUACCAUCUUCUUCAUUGGUUCACCUUGUCUUCCAUAUUUCACAACUGAAGCAAGCAUUGGCGCCUGCAACUGAAGUUGCUCAACUCCCUGCUGACCUGGAUGGCUUCCAGGUUCCAGAGCAAGUUCUCCAGCGUCGCAUGGCUUCUGAUGGCACGGCACAGAUUUUGGUCAAGUGGUCUUGUAUGCCUCGUUCUCUCGCUACUUGGGAAGAUUCCAUUACCUUGCAGCAGCGAUUUCCUCGGGCUCCCGCUUGGGGACAAGCAGCUUCUUUUCAAGGGGGGAAUGUUAGCACUGCUUGUUCAUCAGCUCAGCGUUACAGCAGCUUGGACCGUGAAGAUGAUGGGCCACGUCAGGGCAACCGGGUCAGACAGGCAAACAAGCGCGUUACAGGCCUAGAGUGGUGUUAGCGUGCGUGAGUCGCGUGCGUGCGUGUGUGGUGCUUAUCUGAGCAUCGCGUGCCUGUGAAACGGCAAGAAAGAACGGAAUUGUAAACUCAUCUUCCUCCUAAGAAAUACUCCUCGCUAUCCUUCUUCCUCUGUUCUUGCUAGUUCAUACUUCCCUCCAAAUUCUAAUCUGAAUAUCUACCGCUGCUUACCCUCGGAUUUAGUAGUUAACACAGGAUGAAACAAAGAGAGAUGGAGAACGCUACAUGCAGUGGUGCAAGGCACGCGAACGGAGACUGCAUGACGCAAGACUCAAUCGCUGUCCACCAGCGCAGAUAGAGCUAGUCGUCAUCGCGGCGUUCGGAGUUGGUGACUGGCCGUGUUGUUCGCGUGAGGCCGGCGAGAUGUGCAGGGCUCCUUAGCUUUAGCUUAGGCACAUCGAUCUCGUGCGUCAUCGUGCCCGGCAGAUGGAGGAAACGCACGUGUAUUCAGUAUUCACUGCAGGAGAACCAGCAGAAUAAUGUGCCGGUCCCCUGUCCUACCUACUCCAUGUUGGGCUCUAUCCCUUAGGGAGGUGUGCAUGGGCCUGAAAAUUGGGCUUAUUUUAUCUUCAAAAAUAAUCGGGCUUAAUUACCCAGUAAACCGGUCUGCAGUGAGUGAUGUCGAGAGUGCACAAUUUUUUUUUUUGAAAGUGUGCACAAAAAUUUUCGGUAUCGCCGAUGCUGGCGCGCACGCAAGUGCGUAACGAAUUUUCGUCCAUUUCUUUUCAGUUUUCUGGUGACUUUUUCCCUGGUUCGUGCUCAUAUCUCGAGAUUCAAAGAAUCGAACAUACGCUGGCCAGCAUAGGAGGGACCGAGGGAGUGUAUCAACGAGGACAUGUAUAAUAAUUUAGACAACUGCUAUCUAUAUAACUUGCCAUGUCAUAUACAGACAGGAAUAGAGAUAGCUUAUACAGCAGGUUGUCUAUUUAAUUAUCUGCAGAUUAUUUAAUGCAUGUAUGUGUUCAUGAUCAAGCAUAAACUUGAUUUUUAUGUACAGUUUUGUUGCUUAUUUGAUUCAAAAAAGAUCAAUUAUAACUAAGAUGAACAUAAAUACAAAUAUAACAUAAUAGGCCUAAAUGAUGUUGUUAGAAGCACAAAUACAAUACAAUCUAUAACAAGCAUUUAGACAUGGAUCAAUAUUUAUUCACACAUGGAAUUGUAUUUAGCUAUUUACACAAAUUCACUUGAGACUCGAGAGUAGUUGUUCCUUAUGCAAGUGGGAUUUUUCAAGGGAGGUUUCAGUAAGUUCCCGAGAUACAAAAAUAUAGAUAGGGAUUUUGUGAUUUCGUAGGGGUCAAACUGGAAAGUGCCAUAAACAUAUCAAACCAGGCUAGUGGAGGGGCUCCAUGGGCAGCGGCUCUGAUGGUCGGCCUCGCUG